AUGCCGAUUGGAGAAGCUGUUCUGUCUGUCUUCAUGCAAGCACUCUUCAAGAAAGUAAUUGUUGUCGCUUUUGGUGAGCUGAAAUUACCGCAAGAUGUAGCCGAGGAGCUGGAGAAACUAUCCAGCAGUCUCUCAGCCAUUCAAGCUCACGUUGAAGAUGCUGAGGAGCGGCAGCUGAAGGAUGAGACGGCACGAGACUGGCUUGCCAAGCUCAAGGAUGUCGCAUAUGAGAUGGAUGACUUGCUCGAUGAUUAUGCAGCUGAGGCCAUUCAAUCCAAACUAGAAGGACCGUCCAACUACAACCAUUUGAACAAGGUUAGGAGCUGUUUCUGCUGCUUUUGGUUCAACACUUAUUUAUUCAACCAAAAGAUAUUACAAGACAUAAGGAAGGUAGAGGAGAAGCUCGACAGGCUUGUCAAACAAAGAAUAUUGGCCCAAGCAUGA
This 444-nucleotide ribosomal RNA is filed under the name Triticum aestivum (bread wheat). Its description in RNAcentral is "partial small subunit ribosomal RNA". Lineage: Eukaryota; Viridiplantae; Streptophyta; Magnoliopsida; Poales; Poaceae. The record is from RNAcentral.